Molecule: ribosomal RNA, 440 nt
Filed under: uncultured bacterium
Lineage: Bacteria
Description: partial 16S ribosomal RNA
Rfam family: Bacterial small subunit ribosomal RNA
Source: RNAcentral
CCUACGGGCGGCAGCAGUAGGGGAUAUUGCACAAUGGGGGAAACCCUGAUGCAGCGACGCCGCGUGGGUGAAGAAGCGCCUCGGCGCGUAAAGCCCUGUCAGCAGGGAAGAAAAUGACGGUAUCUGACGAAGAAGCACCGGCUAACUACGUGCCAGUAGCCGCGGUAAUACGGAGGGGGCAAGCGUUACCCGGAUUCACUGGGUGUAAAGGGGGCGCAGGCGGGGUAGCAAGCCAGAUGUGAAAGCCCGGGGCUCAACCCUGGGACUGCACUUGGAACUGCGUGGCUGGAGUGCGGGAGGGGCAGGUGGAAUUCCUGGUGUAGGGGUGAAAUGCGUAGAGAUCAGGAGGAAUACCGGUGGCGAAGGCGGCCUGCUAGACUGCAACUGACGUUGAGGCGCGAAAGCGUGGGGAGCAAACAGGAUUAGAUACCCUUGUAGUC